Molecule: unclassified non-coding RNA, 101 nt
Organism: Otolemur garnettii (small-eared galago)
Lineage: Eukaryota; Metazoa; Chordata; Mammalia; Primates; Galagidae
Rfam family: Y RNA
About the family: Y RNAs are components of the Ro ribonucleoprotein particle (Ro RNP), in association with Ro60 and La proteins. The Y RNAs and Ro60 and La proteins are well conserved, but the function of the Ro RNP is not known.
Source: Ensembl
GGCUGGUCCAAGUGCAAUGGUGUUUACAAUGGAUUGAUCACAACCAGUUACAGAUUCCUUUGUUCCUUCUCCAUUUCCACUGCUUCUCUUGACUAGUAAAU